GGGAUCCUCCAUAUGCUGAACGCUGGUUCCCCGGGUCCCCUUAUUUCUUUCUCUAUACUUUGUCUCUGUGUCUUUUUCUUUUCCAAGUCUCUCGUUCCACCUUACGAGAAACACCCACAGGUGUGGAGGGGCAACCCACCCCUUCAUCUGGUGCCCAACGUGGAGGCUUUUCUCUAGGGUGAAGGUACUCUCAAGCGUGGUCAUUGAGGACAAGUCGACGAGAGAUCCCGAGUACGUCUACAGUCAGCCUUACGGUAAGCUUGUGGGCUCAGAAGAAGCUAGGGUGAUAAUGGGGCAAACUAAAGUAAAACUAAAAGUAAAUAUGCCUCUUUUCUCAGCUUUAUUAAAAUUCUUUUAAAAAGAGGGGGAGUUAAAGUAUCUACAAAAAAUCUAAUCAAGCUAUUUCAAACAAUAGAACAAUUUUGCCCAUGGUUUCCAGAACAAGGAACUUUAGAUCUAAAAGAUUGGAAAAGAAUUGUUAAGGAACUAAAACAAGCAAGUAGGAAGGGUAAUAUCAUUCCACUUACAGUAUGGAAUGAUUGGGCCAUUAUUAAAGCAGCUUUAGAACCAUUUCAAACAGAAGAAGAUAGCGUUUCAGUUUCUGAUGCCCCUGGAAGCUGUUUAAUAGAUUGUAAUGAAAAGACAAGGAAAAAAAUCCCAGAAAGAAACGGAAGGUUUACAUUGCGAAUAUGUAGCAGAGCCGGUAAUGGCUCAGUCAAUGCAAAAUGUUGACUAUAAUCAAUUACAGGAGGUGAUAUAUCCUGAAACGUUAAAAUUAGAAGGAAAAGGUCCCGAAUUAGUGGGGCCAUCAGAGUCUAAACCACGAGGGCCAAGUCCUCUUCCAGCAGGUCAGGUGCCCGUAACAUUACAACCUCAAACGCAGGUUAGAGAAAAUAAGAGCCAACCACCAGUAGCUUAUCAAUACUGGCCGCUGGCUGAACUUCAGUAUCAGCCACCCCCAGAAAGUCAGUAUGGAUAUCCAGGAAUGCCCCCAGCACCACAGGGCAGGGCGCCAUACCCUCAGCCGCCCACUAGGAGACUUAAUCCUACGGCACCGCCUAGUAGACAGGGUAGUGAAUUACAUGAAAUUAUUGAGAAGAAAGGAAGGAGAUACUGAGGCGUGGCAAUUCCCAGUAACGUUAGAACCGAUGCCACCUGGAGAAGAAGCCCAAGAGGGAGAGCCUCUCACAGUUGAGGCCAGAUACAAGUCUUUUUUGAUAAAAAUGCUAAAAGAUAUGAAAGAGGGAGUAAAACAGUAUGGACCCAACUCCCCUUAUAUGAGUACAUUAUUAGAUUCCAUUGCUCAUGGACAUAGACUCAUUCCUUAUGAUUGGGAGAUUCUGGCAAGAUCAUCUCUCUCACCCUCUCAAUUUUUACAAUUUAAGACUUGGUGGAUUGAUGGGGUACAAGAACAGGUCCGAAGAAAUAGGGCUGCCAAUCCUCCAGUUAACAUAGAUGCAGAUCAACUAUUAGGAAGAGGUCAAAAUUGGAGUACUAUUAGUCAACAAGCAUUCAUGCAAAAUGAGGCCAUUGAGCAAGUUAGAGCUAUCUGCCUUAGAGCCUGGGAAAAAAUCCAAGACCCAGGAAGCGCCUGCCCCUCAUUUAAUACAGUAAGACAAGGUUCAAAAGAGCCCUACCCUGAUUUUGUGGCAAGGCUCCAAGAUGUUGCUCAAAAGUCAAUUGCCGACGAAAAAGCCCAUAAGGUCAUAGUGGAGUUGAUGGCAUAUGAAAACGCCAAUCCUGAGUGUCAAUCAGCCAUUAAGCCAUUAAAAGGAAAGGUUCCCACAGGGUCAGAUGUAAUCUCAGAGUAUGUAAAAGCCUGUGAUGGAAUCGGAGGAGAUAUGCAUAAAGCUAUGCUUAUGGCUCAAGCAAUAACAGGAGUUGUUUUAGGAGGACAAGUUAAAACAUUUGGAGGAAAAUGUUAUAAUUGUGGUCAAAUUGGUCAUUUAAAAAAGAAUUGGCCAGUCUUAAAUAAACAGAAUAUAACUAUUCAAGCAACUACAACAGGUAGAGAGCCACCUGACUUAUGUCCAAAAUGUAAAAAAGGAAAACAUGGGGCUAGUCAGUGUCAUUCUAAAUUUGAUAAAAACAGGCAACCAUUGUCGGGAAAUGAACAAACGGGCCAGCCUCAGGCCCCACAACAAACUGGGGCAUUCCCAAUUCAGCCAUUUGUUCCUCAGGGUUUUCAGGGACAAAAACCCCCACUGUCCCAAGUGUUUCAGGGAAUAAGCCAGUUACCACAAUACAACAAUUGUCCCCCGCCACAAGCGGCAGUGCAGCAGUAGAUUUAUGUACUAUACAAGCAGUCUCUCUGCUUCCAGGGAAGCCCCCACAAAAAAUCCCCACAGGGGUAUAUGGCCCACUGCCUGAGGGGACUGUAGGACUAAUCUUGGGAAGAUCAAGUCUAAAUCUAAAAGGAGUUCAAAUUCAUACUGGUGUGGUUGAUUCAGACUAUAAAGGCGAAAUUCAAUUGGUUAUUAGCUCUUCAAUUCCUUGGAGUGCCAGUCCAGGAGACAGGAUUGCUCGAUUAUUACUCCUGCCAUAUAUUAAGGUUGGAAAUAGUGAAAUAAAAAGAACAGGAGGGUUUGGAAGCACUGAUCUGACAGGAAAGGCUGCAUAUUGGGCAAGUCAGGUCUCAAAGAACAGACCUGUGUGUAAGGCCAUUAUUCAAGGAAAACAGUUUGAAGGGUUGGUAGACACUGGAGCAGAUGUCUCUAUCAUUGCUUUAAAUCAGUGGCCAAAAAAUUGGCCUAAACAAAAGGCUGUUACAGGAUUUGUCGGCAUAGGCACAGCCUCAGAAGUGUAUCAAAGUACUGAGAUUUUACAUUGCUUAGGGCCAGAUAAUCAAGAAAGUACUGUUCAGCCCAUGAUUACUUCAAUUCCUCUUAAUCUGUGGGGUCGAGAUUUAUUACAACAAUGGGGUGUGGAAAUCACCAUGCCCUCUCCAUUAUAUAGCCCCAGGAGUCAAAAAAUCAUGACCAAGAUGGGAUAUAUACCAGGAAAGGGACUAGGGAAAAAUGAAGAUGGCAUUAAAGUUCCAGUUGAGGCUAAAAUAAAUCAAGAAAGAGAAGGAAUAGGGUAUCCUUGUUAGGGGCGGCCACUGUAGAGCCUCCUAAACACAUACCAUUAACUUGGAAAACAGAAAAACCGGUGUGGGUAAAUCAGUGGCCGCUACCAAAACAAAAACUGGAGGCUUUACAUUUAUUAGCAAAUGAACAGUUAGAAAAGGGACAUAUUGAGCCUUCAUUCUCGUCUUGGAAUUCUCCUGUGUUUGUAAUUCAGAAGAAAUCCGGCAAAUGGCAUAUGUUAACUGACUUGAGGGCCGUAAACGCUGUAAUUCAACCCAUGGGGCCUCUCCAACCUGGGUCACCCUCUCUGGCCAUGAUCCCAAAAGAUUGGCCUUUAAUUAUAAUUGAUCAAAAGGAUUGCUUUUUUACCAUCCCUCUGGUGGAGCAGGAUUGCGAAAAAUUUGCCUUUACUAUACCAGCCAUAAAUAAUAAAGAACCAGCCACCAGGUUUCAGUGGAAAGUGUUACUUCAGGGAAUGCUUAAUAGUCCAACUAUUUGUCAGACUUUUGUAGGUCAAGCUCUUCAACCAGUUAGAGACAAGUUUUCAGACGGCUAUAUUAUUCAUUAUUUUGAUGAUAUUUUAUGUGCUGCAGAAACGAGAGAUAAAUUAAUUGACUGUUAUACAUUUCUGCAAGCCGAGGUUGCCAAUGCAGGACUGGCAAUAGCAUCUGAUAAGAUCCAAACCUCUACUCCUUUUCAUUAUUUAGGGAUGCAGAUAGAAAAAUUAAGCCACAAAAAAUAGAAAUAAGAAAGACACAUUAAAAACACUAAAUGAUUUUCAAAAAUUGCUGGGAGAUAUUAAUUGGAUUCGGCCAACUCUAGGCAUUCCUACUUAUGCCAUGUCAAAUUUGUUCUCUAUCUUAAGAGGAGACUCAGACUUAAAUAGUAAAAGAAUGUUAACCCCAGAGGCAACAAAAGAAAUUAAAUUAGUGGAAGAAAAAAUUCAGUCAGCGCAAAUAAAUAGAAUAGAUCCCUUAGCCCCAUUCCAACUUUUGAUUUUUGCCACUGCACAUUCUCCAACAGGCAUCAUUGUUCAAAAUACUGAUCUUGUGGAGUGGUCAUUCCUUCCUCACGGUACAGUUAAGACUUUUACAUUGUACUUGGAUCAAAUAGCUACAUUAAUUGGUCAGACAAGAUUAUGAAUAAUAAAAUUAUGUGGAAAUGACCCAGACAAAAUAGUUGUCCCUUUAACAAAGGAACAAGUUAGACAAGCCUUUAUCAAUUCUGGUGCAUGGCAGAUUGGUCUUGCUAAUUUUGUGGGAAUUAUUGACAAUCGUUACCCAAAAACAAAAAUCUUCCAGUUCUUAAAAUUGACUACUUGGAUUCUACCUAAAAUUAGCAGACGUGAACCUUUAGAAAAUGCUCUAACAGUAUUUACUGAUGGUUCCAGCAAUGGAAAAGUGGCUUACACAGGGCCGAAAGAACGAGUAAUCAAAACUCCAUAUCAAUCGGCUCAAAGAGCAGAGUUGGUUGCAGUCAUUACAGUGUUACAAGAUUUUGACCAACCUAUCUAUAUUAUAUCAGAUUCUGCAUAUGUAGUACAGGCUACAAGGGAUGUUGAGACAGCUCUAAUUAAAUAUAGCAUGGAUGAUCAGUUAAACCAGCUAUUCAAUUUAUUACAACAAACUGUAAGAAAAAGAAAUUUCCCAUUUUAUAUUACUCAUAUUCAAGCACACACUAAUUUACCAGGGCCUUUGACUAAAGCAAAUGAACAAGCUGACUUACUGGUAUCAUCUGCAUUCAUAAAAGCACAAGAACUUCAUGCUUUGACUCAUGCAAAUGCAGCAGGAUUAAAAAACAAAUUUGAUGUCACAUGGAAACAGGCAAAAGAUAUUGUACAACAUUGCACCCAGUGUCAGGUCUUACACCUGCCCACUCAAGAGGCAGGAGUUAAUCCCAGAGGUCUGUGUCCUAAUGCGUUAUGGCAAAUGGAUGUCACGCAUGUUCCUUCAUUUGGAAGAUUAUCAUAUGUUCAUGUAACAGUUGAUACUUUUCACAUUUCAUAUGGGCAGCUUGCCAAACAGGAGAAAGUACUUCCCAUGUUAAAAAACAUUUAUUGUCUUGUUUUGCUGUCAUGGGAGUUCCAGAAAAAAUCAAAACUGACAAUGGACCAGGAUAUUGUAGUAAAGCUUUCCAAAAAUUCUUAAGUCAGUGGAAAAUUUCACAUACAACAGGAAUUCCUUAUAAUUCCCAAGGACAGGCCAUAGUUGAAAGAACUAAUAGAACACUCAAAACUCAAUUAGUUAAACAAAAAGAAGGGGGAGACAGUAAGGAGUGUACCACUCCUCAGAUGCAACUUAAUCUAGCACUCUAUACUUUAAAUUUUUUUAAACAUUUAUAGAAAUCAGACUACUACUUCUGCAGAACAACAUCUUACUGGUAAAAAGAACAGCCCACAUGAAGGAAAACUAAUUUGGUGGAAAGAUAAUAAAAAUAAGACAUGGGAAAUAGGGAAGGUGAUAACGUGGGGGAGAGGUUUGCUUGUGUUUCACCAGGAGAAAAUCAGCUUCCUGUUUGGAUACCCACUAGACAUUUGAAGUUCUACAAUGAACCCAUCGGAGAUGCAAAGAAAAGGGCCUCCACAGAGAUGUCUGCAGGUGUACCCAACAGCUCCGAAGAGACAGCGACCAUCGAGAAUGGGCCAUGAUGACGAUGGCGGUUUUGUCGAAAAGAAAAGGGGGAAAUGUGGGGAAAAGCAAGAGAGAUCAGAUUGUUACUGUGUCUGUAUAGAAAGAAGUAGACAUAGGAGACUCCAUUUUGUUCUGUACUAAGAAAAAUUCUUCUGCCUUGAGAUGCUGUUAAUCUAUGACCUUACCCCCAACCCCGUGCUCUCUGAAACAUGUGCUGUGUCAAACUCAGGGUUAAAUGGAUUAAGGGUUGUGCAAGAUGUGCUUUGUUAAACAAAUGCUUGAAGGCAGCAUGCUCUUUAAGAGUCAUCACCACUCCCUAAUCUCAAGUACCCAGGGACACAAACACUGCGGAAGGCCGCAGGGACCUCUGCCUAGGAAAGCCAGGUAUUGUCCAAGGUUUCUCCCCAUGUGAUAGUCUGAAAUAUGGCCUCGUGGGAAGGGAAAGACCUGACCGUCCCCCAGCCCGACACCCAUAAAGGGUCUGUGUGAGGAGGAUUAGUAUAAGAGGAAGGCAUGCCUCUUGCAGUUGAGACAAGAGGAAGGCGUCUGUCUCCUGCCCGUCCCUGGACAAUGGAAUGUCUCGGUAUAAAACCCGAUUGUACGUUCCAUCUACUGAGAUAGGGAAAAACGCCUUAGGGCUGGAGGUGGGACAUGCGGGCAGCAAUACUGCUUUGUAAAGCAUUGAGAUGUUUAUGUGUAUGCAUAUCUAAGAGCACAGCACUUAAUCCUUUACCUCGUCUAUGAUGCAAAGACCUUUGUUCACGUGUUUGUCUGCUGACCCUCUCCCCACUAUUGUCUUGUGACCCUGACACAUCCCCCUCUCGGAGAAACACCCACGAAUGAUCAAUAAAUACUAAGGGAACUCAGAGGCUGGCGGGAUCCUCCAUAUGCUGAACGCUGGUUCCCCGGGUCCCCUUAUUUCUUUCUCUAUACUUUGUCUCUGUGUCUUUUUCUUUUCCAAGUCUCUCGUUCCACCUUACGAGAAACACCCACAGGUGUGGAGGGGCAACCCACCCCUUCAAGCCUCUGCUCCUCCACCCUAUAAUUCUUUUAUCACCUCCCCUCCACACACCCGUCCGGCUUACAGUUUCAUUCCGUGACUAGCCCUCCCCCACCUGCCCAGCAAUUUACUCUUAAAAAGGUGGCUGGAGCUAAAGGCAUAGUCAAGGUUAAUGCUCCUUUUUCUUUAUCCCAAAUCAGAUAGCGUUUAGGCUCUUUUUCAUCAAAUAUAAAAAACCCAGCCCAGUUCAUGGCUCGUUCGGCAGCAACCCUGAGAUGCUUUACAGCCCUAGACCUAAAAGGUCAAAAGGCUGUAUUAUUCUCAAUAUACAUUUUAUUACUCAAUCUGCUCCCGACAUUAAAUAAAACUCCAAAAAUUAAAUUCCAGCCCUCAAACCCCACAACAGGAUUUAAUUAACCUCACCUUCAAGGUGUACAAUAAUAGAAAAAAGUCGCAAUUCCUUGCCUUUACUGUGAGACAAACCCCAGCCACAUCUCCAGCCCACAAGAACUUCCAAACGCCUAAACCGCAGUGGCCAGGCGUUCCUCCAGAACCUCCUCCCCCAGGAACUUGCUACAAGUGCCAGAAAUCUGACCACCAGGCCGAGGAAUGCCUGCAGCCCAGGAUUCCUCCUAAGCCGUGUCCCAUCUGCGCGGGACCCCACUGGAAAUCGGACUGUUCAACUCACCUGGCAGCCACUCCCAGAACCCCUGGAAUUCUGGCCCAAGGCUCUCUGACUGACUCCUUCUCGGCUUAGCAGCUGAAGACUGAUGCUGCCUGAUCGCCUUGGAAGCCCCGUAGACCAUCGCGGAUGCCGAGCUUUAAGUAAUCUCACAGUGGAGGGAUAUGGUGGUAUGGACCUGUUGCCCCAGCUACUCAGGAGGCCGAGAUGAAACAAUCACCUGACCCCAGGAAGUCGGGGCUGCAGUGAACUAGGAUCAUGCCACUGCACUCUAGCCUGGGCAACAAGGUGAGACACCAUCUCUAAAAAUAAUAAUAAAAAAAUAAAGUCUGGUCAGGUGCUGUGGCUCACGCCUAUAAUCCCAGCACUUUGGGAGGCCGAGACAGGUGGAUCACGUGAGGCCAGGAGUUUGAGACCAACCUAGCCAACACGGGGAAACCCUGCCUCUACCAAAAAAUACAAAAAAAUUAGCCUGGUGUGGUGGUGUGCAUCUGUAGUCCCAGCUACUCGGGAGGCUGAGGCGGAAGAAUUGCUUGAACUGGGAGGUGGAGGUUGCAGUGAGCCGAGAUCACACCACUGCACUCUAGCCUGGACGACAGAGUGAGAUCCUGUCUCAAAAAUAAAGUCGGGGGGCUGGGUUCAGUGGUUCAUACCUGUAAUCCCAGCAUUUUGGGAGGCUGAGGUGGGCAGAUCACUUGAGGUCAGGAGUUUGAGAGAGACUGGCCAACAACAGUGAAACCCCAUCUCUACUAAAAAAGUACAAAAGGCCGGGUGCCAUGGCUCACGCCUGUAAUCCCAGCACUUUGGGAGGCUGAGGCAGGUGGAUCACGAGGUCAGGAGUUCAAGACCAGCCUGACCAACAUGGAGAAACCCCGUCUCUACUAAAAAUACAAAAUUAGCCGGGUAUGGUGGCACAUGCCUGUAAUCCCAGCUACUCGGGAGGCUGAGGCAGGAGGAUCGCUUGAACCAAGGAGGCGGAGGUUGCAAUGAGCCAAGAUAGUGCCAUUACACUACCAGCUUGGGCAACAAGAGUGAAACUCCGUCUCAAAAAAAAAAAAGUACAAAAAUUAGCCAGGCUUGGUGGUGUGCCCCUGCAGUCCCAGCUACUCGGGAGGCUGAGAGGUGAGAAUCUCUUGAACCCAGGAGGCAGUGCUGCCAUUGCACUCCAGCCUGAGCGACAUAGCAAGACUCUGUCUCCAAAAAAUCAAUAAAUAAUAAAAAAUAAAGUCCAGGUGGGGCACGGUGGUUCAUGCCUGUUAUCCCAUCACUUUGGGAGGCCGAGGUGGGCGGAUCACCUGAGGUCAGGAGUUCAAGACCAGCCUGACCAACAUGGAGAAACCUCAUCUCUACUAAAAAUACAAAAUUAGCCGGGCAUGGUGGCACAUGCCUCUAAUUUCAGCUACUCGGGAGGCUGAGGCAGGAGAAUCCCUCGAACCUGGGAGGCAGAGGUUGUGGCAAGCCAAGAUCGUGCCACUGCACUCCAGCCUGGGCAACAAGAGCAAAACUCCAUCUCGAAAAAUGAAAAAUAUUAAAAAAAAAAUAAA
Molecule: RNA transcript, 8924 nt
Organism: Homo sapiens (human)
Lineage: Eukaryota; Metazoa; Chordata; Mammalia; Primates; Hominidae
Gene name: endogenous retrovirus group K member 7 Env polyprotein-like
Exons: 3
Source: RefSeq, a predicted model, not a curated record